Xiphophorus couchianus (Monterrey platyfish) is the source of this 427-nucleotide long non-coding RNA. RefSeq lists it as uncharacterized. The transcript has 2 exons. The record is from RefSeq and is a predicted model, not a curated record. NCBI's taxonomy places the organism in Eukaryota, Metazoa, Chordata, Actinopteri, Cyprinodontiformes, Poeciliidae.
GACCUGAUCCCUGGCAGUAAAACACAUUUUUACUGUGAUUUUCUCUGGUUGGUUUUUUUUAGAACCCCAUUCAACUUUGAAGACUGUCCAGCUGCAUAGCAUCGCAGGCCUGGAUUGGAUUGCUGAGCUCCAGGUUUCAACCCAAGACCUGGGACUGCUGGAUCCGCUGCCUACUUUGCACUGGAUAAGAUAAGAUUUUGGAUCCAAAGAAACACAUGGCCAUUUAACAAAGACUUGACUGACUGACUUAAAUUACUGAACUAAGAAAACAAAACUUCCAAAGGACGAACUGAACUAUAAGGAAUCUGAACCAAAAGAAAAUACACUGCCUGAUAAAAAAGGUGGACACUUUAUGUUGGAACAAAAAAAAACUGUACCGUAAUAUUCUGUUUCAAGUUGUAUUAAAUAAUCUGUUCAUUCUUGAUAA